GAUGAACGCUGGCGGCGUGCCUAAUACAUGCAAGUCGAGCGAACGGACGAGAAGCUUGCUUCUCUGAUGUUAGCGGCGGACGGGUGAGUAACACGUGGAUAACCUACCUAUAAGACUGGGAUAACUUCGGGAAACCGGAGCUAAUACCGGAUACUAUUUUGAACCGCAUGGUUCAAAAGUGAAAGACGGUCUUGCUGUCACUUAUAGAUGGAUCCGCGCUGCAUUAGCUAGUUGGUAAGGUAACGGCUUACCAAGGCAACGAUGCAUAGCCGACCUGAGAGGGUGAUCGGCCACACUGGAACUGAGACACGGUCCAGACUCCUACGGGAGGCAGCAGUAGGGAAUCUUCCGCAAUGGGCGAAAGCCUGACGGAGCAACGCCGCGUGAGUGAUGAAGGUCUUCGGAUCGUAAACCUCUGUUAUUAGGGAAGAACAUAUGUGUAAGAAGCUGUGCACAUCAUGACGGUACCUAAACAAAAAGCCACGGCUAACUACGUG
Molecule: ribosomal RNA, 497 nt
Filed under: uncultured bacterium
Lineage: Bacteria
Description: partial 16S ribosomal RNA
Rfam family: Bacterial small subunit ribosomal RNA
Source: RNAcentral